UCCGAUUUGUCACCGGCAGUCUCCUUAGAGUGCCCGACUUAACGAUGGCAACUAAGGACAAGGGUUGCGCUCGUUGCGGGACUUAACCCAACAUCUCACGGCACGAGCUGACGACAGCCAUGCAGCACCUAGUUUCGUGCCCUUGCGGGAAUCCCGAUUUCUCGGGACGUCACUAACUUUCAAGCCCAGGUAAGGUUCCUCGCGUAUCAUCGAAUUAAACCACAUGCUCCUCCGCUUGUGCGGGCCCCCGUCAAUUCCUUUGAGUUUCAAUCUUGCGACCGUACUUCCCAGGUGGAUUACUUAAUGCUUUCGCUCAGACGCGUACAGUGUAUCGCACACAUCGAGUAAUCAUCGUUUAGGGCGUGGACUAC
This 371-nucleotide unclassified non-coding RNA is filed under the name uncultured Bacteroidia bacterium. Its description in RNAcentral is "contains 16S-23S intergenic spacer region". The record is from RNAcentral. Lineage: Bacteria; Pseudomonadati; Bacteroidota; Bacteroidia.